Molecule: transfer-messenger RNA, 356 nt
Filed under: Halopseudomonas phragmitis
Lineage: Bacteria; Pseudomonadati; Pseudomonadota; Gammaproteobacteria; Pseudomonadales; Pseudomonadaceae
Also listed under: 2 other names
Description: Standard tmRNA
Rfam family: transfer-messenger RNA
About the family: Bacterial tmRNA, also known as 10Sa RNA or SsrA, is named for its dual tRNA and mRNA-like properties.
Source: Rfam by way of RNAcentral
GGGGCCGAUUUGGAUUCGACGACGGUUACAAAACUUGAGGGGCAUGCCGAGUUGGUAACAGAACUCGUAAAUCCACUGUUGCACACUUAUAGUUGCCAACGACGACAACUACGCCCUAGCCGCUUAAGCCGGCUAGCAGCCUCUAGGGGAUGCCUGUAAACCCGAAGAUUUGGCUGUCAUAUAGAACAGGAUCGCCGCCAAGUUCGCUGUAGACGUAACGGCUAAAACUUAUACAGCUCGCUCCAAACACCCUGCCACUCGGGCGGUGAGGAGUUAACUAAGUAGAGAUGGCUAAGCAUGUAGAACCGAUAGCGGCGGACUGGCGGACGGGGGUUCAAAUCCCCCCGGCUCCACCA